This 482-nucleotide ribosomal RNA is filed under the name uncultured bacterium. RNAcentral describes it as "partial 16S ribosomal RNA". It matches the Rfam family "Bacterial small subunit ribosomal RNA", at positions 29 to 523 of the family's 1533-position model. The record is from RNAcentral.
AAUGAACGUUGGCGGCGUGGAUUAGGCAUGCAAGUCGUGCGAGAAUCGUAGCAAUACGAGGAAAGCGGCGAAAGGGAGAGUAAUGCAUGGAUAUCUACCCUCGGGUCUGGGAUAGCUACGGGAAACUGUAGGUAAUACCAGAUGACAUCUCCGGAUCAAAGGUGUGAUUCCGUCCGAGGAGGAGUCCAUGUUCUAUUAGCUAGUUGGUGAGGUAACGCCCCACCAAGGCUGAGAUGGGUAUGGGGUGUGCGAGCACGACCCCACUAACUGGGACUGAGAUACUGCCCAGACACCUACGGGUGGCUGCAGUCGAGAAUCUUCGGCAAUGGGCGCAAGCCUGACCGAGCGACGCCGCGUGCGGGAUGAAGGCCUUCGGGUUGUAAACCGCUGUCAGUGUGGAGGAAAUUCCUAGGGGUAAUCUCCUAGGAUUGACCUAUACGCAGAGGAAGGAUGGGCUAAGUUCGUGCCAGCCGCCGCAGUAA